UACCAGCACCCCGAGUGGUCGGGACGAUUAUUGGGCCUAAAGCAUCCGUAGCCGGCCUUACAAGUCCUCCGUUAAAUCCAGCUGCUUAACAGAUGGGCUGCGGAGGAUACUAUAAGACUAGGAGGCAGGAGAGGCAAGCGGUACUCAGUGGGUAGGGGUAAAAUCCGUUGAUCCAUUGAAGAACACCAGUGGCGAAGGCGGCUUGCCAGAAUGCGCUCGACGGUGAGGGAUGAAAGCUGGGGGAGCAAACCGG
Molecule: ribosomal RNA, 253 nt
Filed under: uncultured bacterium
Lineage: Bacteria
Description: partial 16S ribosomal RNA
Rfam family: Archaeal small subunit ribosomal RNA
Source: RNAcentral